CUGUAUUAACUUCAAUUAAGUAUAAAAUUAGAUUUGCCCUUAUUUGACUAGAAUGAGUUCUUUGAUUGUUUAUGUAAAAUAUCACUCACGCUGAACAUGCUGAACCUCAAUCCCAUAAGUCUCAUCAUGCUCAUUGUGAGCUUAUCACGUUUUAUUUGUUUAUCCUCAGUAUAUAUUCUUGUGUGUUUCUUCAAACUACAAAGCCGACUAAACUCUUUACCACAUAAAUCACAGUCAGUCAUGAAGUUUAUCACCUGUUCAUGUAUGUGUUCUCAUGUGUCUCUUUAAAUUACAAUGAUGACCAAAUUUUUACCACAUACAUUACAGUCGUGAGGUUAUAACCUGUAUGUGUUCUUGUAUGGCUUUGUAAACUACCAGGCUGACUAAACCCUUUACCACAUACAUCACAGUCAUAAGGUUUAUCACCUGUAUGAAUUGUCAUGUGUCUCUGUAAAUCUUGAAGCCGACUAAACCCUUUGCCACAUACAUCGCAAUCAUGAACAUGUUGAGGUUUCUCACCUGUGUGUAUUCUUAUGUGGACUUGUAAAUUAUAAGGAUGACUAAAUCCUUUGCCACAUACAUCACAGUCAUAAGGUUUUUCACCUGUAUGUAUUCUCAUGUGACUCUGUAAACUACCAGACUGACUAACCACCUUUACCACAUACAUCACAGAUAUGAGGUUUAUCUCCUGUAUGUGUUUUCACAUGUCUCUUCAAGUCACUACUCUGGCCAAAUUCUCUAGGACAAACCACACAUUUAUGAAGUUUUUGGCCAGUAUGUGUUUUCACAUGUCUCUUCAAGUCACUCUCUGGCCAAAUUCUCUAGGACAAACAACACAUUUAUGAAGUGUUUUGGCCAGUAUGUGUUUUUACGUGUCUCUUCAAGUCACUAUUUUUACAAAACUCUCUGCCACAAACAUCACAGUUAUGAAGUGUACACAGCUCUGUGUUCUUAGGUGUCUCUGUUGUGCGCCAUUGAUUGUAAAAAUCUGCUACCUCAUACAUUCUUUUUAAUGUGCAUGUAUAAUCUUGUACGGUUCUG
RNAcentral lists this long non-coding RNA (1041 nucleotides) under Mytilus galloprovincialis (Mediterranean mussel). The record is from RNAcentral. Lineage: Eukaryota; Metazoa; Mollusca; Bivalvia; Mytilida; Mytilidae.